Molecule: long non-coding RNA, 2451 nt
Organism: Oncorhynchus tshawytscha (Chinook salmon)
Lineage: Eukaryota; Metazoa; Chordata; Actinopteri; Salmoniformes; Salmonidae
Source: Ensembl
CUGGGAAGAGAGGGACAAGCUGUAGAGGACCAACCUGGGAAGAGAGGGACAAGCUGUAGAGGACCAACCUGGGAAGAGAGGGACAAGCUGUAGAGGACAUGCAUGUACAUAGAACAAUAUCCUCUUUCAAGAAUCAUCAAUGGAAAGAAGAAGCCAACAGUCACUUCAUUCAGUUGACCUUCAAGUCAACAUGGAUUCACACAAUAUAGCCACUCCUAUUUGUCAUAUCUUUAAUCUGAGUCUGGAGGGAAAAUAAUUGUCCUUAGAACUGGAGGGAAACCAAAGUAAUUCCGGUACCCAAGAAUGGAAAAGCACCCUUUACUGGUUCUAAUAGCUGACCAAUCAGCUUGCUGCCGACUCUUAGCAAACUUAAUUUAAAAAAAAUUGUGAUUGACCAGAAACAAUGCUAUUUCUCUGUAAACAAAUCAACAGCAGACUUUCAGCAUGCUUAUAGAGAAGGGCACGCAACAUGUACAGUACUGCACUGACACAAAUGACUGAUGAUUGGUUGAAAGAAAAGGAAAAAAAAUAUGUAUAACAAGAAAAUUGUGGGAGCUGUAUUGUUAGAUUUCAGUGCAGCCUUUGAUAUUAUUGACCAUGUCUUGUUAUUGAAAAAACGUAGGUGGCAGAGGCUUUUCAACCAUAUCGUGGAUUCAGAGUGAUCAAUCUAAUAGAACACAAAGGCUUUUCUUUAAUGGAAGCUUCUCUAAUGUCAAACAUGUAAAGUGUGGUGUACCGCAGGGCAGCUCUCUAGGCCCUCUACUCUUUUUACAUCAACAGAUGUCAGAAAGUGCUAUACAGAAACCCAGACUAAAUGACUGACCACGAGUCUUAAGUAAAGCAUGUGUGUCUAUGUGUGCUGAUGAUUCAACACUAUACAUGUCAGCAACCACGGCUAAUGAAAUCACUGCAACACUUAACAAAGAGUUGCAGUCAGUUUUAGAAUGGGUGGCCAGUAAUACAUUAGUCCUGAGUAUCUCUACAACUAAAAGCAUUGUAUUUGAUACAAAUUAUUCCCUAAGUUCAAAACCUCAGCUGAGUCUUAUAAUGAAUCAAUUGGCUGUUGAGCAAGAUGAGGAGACUAAAUUACUUGGAUUGUAAACUGUCAUGGUCAAAACCUAUUCAUUCAAUGGUUGUAAAGACGGGGAGAGGUCUGUCCUUGAUUUAAACCUAGAUUCAGUCAGAUCAAUCGUUAACCAACGAUAGCAGACACAUGCAUAGCGGCUGUUAUGGCGGUAUCUGAGGUGGAACUGCGUUGGAGCCGUCAAAUCGGUGAGCAGUUGCACAUGUGAUCAUUGUCAUGAAGCAACACCCGCUUCACUAGAAGCCACACCCUCCCCACUAGAAGCCACACCCUCCUCACUCGAAGCCACACCCUCCUCACUUGCGUUAGAAGUUCAGAAUGUGUUGGCUACAUAGAAAUAAUUACGCAUUAAACAAAAUAAUAAGGAUUUCUAUUAUCAAGGUGUAGAUUACAUAUCACAUUGCAGUGUUCCCACUUGUUAACAAAUGGGAUUUCGGUUAAUGCAACUCCAUGCAGCCAAUGGCAAUAUCCACUUUCGUUAUAAUGCCGGGAGCCACUUGUGGAUUUAACAGCUCAGUUCCACCUCGGACACCAUCAAAAUAACAGUUAUGAAGAUGUUGAGUAGAGCCCAAAGAGGUGUUGACCAAAUUGUUUGCGUAGUCAACUUACACACAGCUCUGACACACACACUUAUCACACCAGACAUGCCACCAGGGGUCUUUUCACAGUCCCCAAAUCCCCAAUGAAUUCAAGAAAACGUACAGUAUUAUAUAGAGCCAUGAUUGGAAAUGGAAAUCCCUUUCAUCUCAGAUUGCUUAAGUGAACAGCAAACCUGGCUUUAAGAAACACAAUGCCUCUCCCCUAUUUAACCUAAAUAUGCGUAUGUACUGAUAGAUGCUACUGAAUUUAUAUGUAAUAUAUGAAAAUGUAAAUGAUAAAUGCAGGACUAGAAUAAUUGGUCUCUCUGUGUUUUUUCCUCAGUAUUGAGUCAGUACAGAACAUUUUACUUAUACUUUACUUGUUUUAAAUGUAUGUAGUUCUGUCCUUGAGCUGUUCUUGUCUAUUAAUGUUGAUUGGCUGAUUCUACAGUAUGUUGUCAAUGAUUGGCUGAUUCUACAGUAUGUUGUCAAUGAUUGGCUGAUUCUACAGUAUGUUGUCAAUGAUUGGCUGAUUCUACAGUAUGUUGUUAAUGAUUGGCUGAUUCUACAGUAUGUUGUUAAUGAUUGGUUGAUUCUACAGUAUGUUGUUAAUGAUUGGCUGAUUCUACAGUGCAGAAAUAAGUGUUUUGCAGAAAUACAGUCAGUGUUUAUUUAGUGUUUAGUGUUUUAAUGUAAGUUAUUUUGUGUGUUGCUGUCCAUUGACUGAUUGGGGAUAUCAGGCUAUGUUGUUAUUUUUAUAUGAAUAAAUGAAUAACUAAUUGUAAUCCA